Molecule: transfer RNA, 74 nt
Filed under: Desmophyllum pertusum
Lineage: Eukaryota; Metazoa; Cnidaria; Anthozoa; Scleractinia; Caryophylliidae
Description: tRNA-Lys
Rfam family: tRNA
About the family: Transfer RNA (tRNA) molecules are approximately 80 nucleotides in length.
Source: RNAcentral
GCCCGGUUAGCUCAGUCGAUAGAGCAUCAGACUUUUAAUCUGAGGGUCCUGGGUUCAAGUCCCAUCAUCAGGCG